CUUUCGGGUUGGCACUAGUGGCGGACGGGUGAGUAACACGUAAGCAAUCUGCCCGGUAGUGGGGAAUAACUAGUCGAAAGACUGGCUAAUACCGCAUGUGAUGGCUGGUCCUUGGAUGAGUCAUGAAAGGCGUAAGUCGCUACCGGAGGAGCUUGCGGCCGAUUAGCUAGUUGGUGAGGUAAUGGCCCACCAAGGCAACGAUCGGUAGCUGGUCUGAGAGGACGGUCAGCCACACGGGGACUGAGAUACGGCCCCGACUCCUACGGGAGGCAGCAGCUAGGAAUCUUGGGAAUGGGCGAAGGCCUGACCCAGCAACGCCGCGUGGGCGAUGAAGGCCUUCGGGUCGUAAAGCCCUUUUGCAGGGGAAGAUGAUGACGGUACCCUGCGAAUAAGCCACGGCUAACUACGUGCCAGCAGCCGCGGUAAUACGUAGGUGGCAAGCGUUGUCCGGAUUUACUGGGCGUAAAGGGCGUGCAGGCGGUUUGUUAAGUGCAGGGUGAAAGCUCCCGGCUCAACUGGGAGAGGUCCUUGCAUACUGGCGAACUUGAGGGGGGUAGAGGAAAGUGGAAUUCCCGGUGUAGUGGUGAUAUGCGUAGAUAUCGGGAGGAACACCUGUGGCGAAGGCGGCUUUCUGGGCCCUACCUGACGCUGAGACGCGAAAGCGUGGGGAGCGAACCGGAUUAGAUACCCGGGUAGUCCACGCCGUAAACUAUGGACACUA
RNAcentral lists this ribosomal RNA (721 nucleotides) under uncultured Bacillota bacterium. RNAcentral's name for it is "bacterial SSU rRNA". It matches the Rfam family "Bacterial small subunit ribosomal RNA", at positions 78 to 818 of the family's 1533-position model. Lineage: Bacteria; Bacillati; Bacillota. The record is from RNAcentral.